This 253-nucleotide ribosomal RNA is filed under the name uncultured bacterium. RNAcentral describes it as "partial 16S ribosomal RNA". It matches the Rfam family "Bacterial small subunit ribosomal RNA", at positions 524 to 776 of the family's 1533-position model. The record is from RNAcentral.
UACGUAGGGGGCAAGCGUUGUUCGGAAUUACUGGGCGUAAAGGGCUCGUAGGCGGCCAACUAAGUCAUACGUGAAAUCCCUCGGCUCAACCGGGGAACUGCGUCUGAUACUGGAUGGCUUGAGAUUGGGAGAGGGAUGCGGAAUUCCAGGUGUAGCGGUGAAAUGCGUAGAUAUCUGGAGGAACACCGGUGGCGAAGGCGGCAUCCUGGACCAACACUGACGCUGAGGAGCGAAAGCCAGGGGAGCAAACGGG